This is a long non-coding RNA of Ipomoea nil (Japanese morning glory), 432 nucleotides long. RefSeq lists it as uncharacterized. The transcript has 2 exons. The record is from RefSeq and is a predicted model, not a curated record. Lineage: Eukaryota; Viridiplantae; Streptophyta; Magnoliopsida; Solanales; Convolvulaceae.
UCCAUUAUUGAAAUGUCAACAAGGUAUACUAGUGAAAGCUCUUCAUCUUCAAGGAAUCAAGGAUACAUCUAUGGUGAGUUCGUUACCAUUCCAAACUGUCAAUGUGGCCAACGAUUGAAGCUACAAACAUCUUAGACGAAUGAUAAUUUAGGUAGAAAGUAUUGAGAGUGUCGAUUCGAAAAUGGAGGGCAAAUGUGUGGUUUUGUUAGAUAGUAUGAUCUUCCGAUGUGUGCAAGGUCAAGAAGAAUUAUUUAUGGACUAUUGAGAAGGAUUAAUCGAAAUGAAGAAGAAAUAGCAAGGCUUAAAAUGAGGCUAAAAGAUUGUGCUAAGGUUGAUGCGCAAAGAAGCAGUGGUAGUAAUUGGAAAUGUACUAGGAUAGUGAUUGUGAUAUGCAUUUUGUUGUUGGUAGUUAUAACACUCAAUGCACCUAGG